GCCUUCGUGGUGUAGUGGAAAGCACGACCGCCUAUUACGCGACAGGCUCGGGUUCGAUCCCCGAUGGAGGCA
RNAcentral lists this transfer RNA (72 nucleotides) under Penaeus vannamei (Pacific white shrimp). RNAcentral describes it as "transfer RNA asparagine (anticodon AUU)". It matches the Rfam family "tRNA". Rfam says of the family: Transfer RNA (tRNA) molecules are approximately 80 nucleotides in length. Their secondary structure includes four short double-helical elements and three loops (D, anti-codon, and T loops). Lineage: Eukaryota; Metazoa; Arthropoda; Malacostraca; Decapoda; Penaeidae. The record is from Rfam by way of RNAcentral.